GACGAACGCUGGCGGCGUGCUUAACACAUGCAAGUCGAACGGUAAGGCCCUUCGGGGUACACGAGUGGCGAACGGGUGAGUAACACGUGGGUGAUCAGCCCUGCACUUCGUGAUAAGCAUGGGAAACUGGGUCUCAUACCGGAUAGGACCACUGCCUGCAUGGGUGGUGGUGGAAAGCUUUUGCGGUGUGGGAUGGGCCCGCGGCCUAUCAGCUUGUUGGUGGGGUGAUGGCCUACCAAGGCGACGACGGGUAGCCGGCCUGAUAGGGUGACCGGCAACGCUGGGACUGAGAUAAGGACCAGAGUGCUACGGGAGGCAGAAGUGGAGAAUAUUGCACGAUGGGCGCAAGCCUGAUGCAGCGACGCCGCGUGAGGGAUGACGGCCUUCGGGUUGUAAACCUCUUUCAGCACCGACGAAGCGCAAGUGACGGUAGGUGCAGAAGAAGGACCGGCCAACUACGUGCCAGCCGCCGCGGUAA
This 478-nucleotide ribosomal RNA is filed under the name uncultured bacterium. RNAcentral describes it as "partial 16S ribosomal RNA". It matches the Rfam family "Bacterial small subunit ribosomal RNA", at positions 28 to 523 of the family's 1533-position model. The record is from RNAcentral.